AUACGGAGGGGACAAGCGUUAUUCGGAAUCACUGGGCGUAAAGGACGCGUAGGCGGGUUAUUAAGUCGGGUGUGAAAUCCAAUGGCUCAACCAUUGAACUGCAUUCAAAACUGAUAACCUAGAGUAUGGAAGGGGCAGGUGGAAUUAGUGGUGUAGGGGUAAAAUCCGUAGAUAUCACUAGGAAUACCGAAAGCGAAGGCGACCUGCUGGGACAUUACUGACGCUGAGGCGUGAAAGCGUGGGGAGCAAACAGGAUUAGAUACCCCGGUAGUCC
Molecule: ribosomal RNA, 274 nt
Filed under: uncultured bacterium
Lineage: Bacteria
Description: partial 16S ribosomal RNA
Rfam family: Bacterial small subunit ribosomal RNA
Source: RNAcentral